This 253-nucleotide ribosomal RNA is filed under the name uncultured bacterium. Its description in RNAcentral is "partial 16S ribosomal RNA". It matches the Rfam family "Bacterial small subunit ribosomal RNA", at positions 524 to 776 of the family's 1533-position model. The record is from RNAcentral.
UACGUAGGGUGCAGGCGUUAAUCGGAAUUACUGGGCGUAAAGCGUGCGCAGGCGGUUUCUUAAGUCAGAUGUGAAAGCCCCGGGCUUAACCUGGGAACUGCGUUUGAAACUGGGAGACUUGAGUGUGGCAGAGGGGGGUGGAAUUCCACGUGUAGCAGUGAAAUGCGUAGAUAUGUGGAGGAACACCGGUGGCGAAGGCGGGACUCUGGGCCGAUACUGACGCUGAGGAGCGAAAGCGUGGGGAGCAAACAGG